This 36-nucleotide ribosomal RNA is filed under the name Bacillus subtilis. RNAcentral describes it as "partial 16S ribosomal RNA". The record is from RNAcentral. Lineage: Bacteria; Bacillati; Bacillota; Bacilli; Caryophanales; Bacillaceae.
CUUUAUCGGAGAGUUUGAUCCUGGCUCAGGACGAAC